Molecule: ribosomal RNA, 401 nt
Filed under: uncultured bacterium
Lineage: Bacteria
Description: bacterial SSU rRNA
Rfam family: Bacterial small subunit ribosomal RNA
Source: RNAcentral
GGGGAAUAUUGCACAAUGGGCGAAAGCCUGAUGCAGCAACGCCGCGUGAGUGAUGAAGGCCUUCGGGUUGUAAAGCUCUGUCUUCUGGGACGAUAAUGACGGUACCAGAGGAGGAAGCCACGGCUAACUACGUGCCAGCAGCCGCGGUAAUACGUAGGUGGCAAGCGUUGUCCGGAUUUACUGGGCGUAAAGGAUGCGUAGGCGGAUGCUUAAGUCAGAUGUGAAAUUCCCGGGCUUAACUUGGGAACUGCAUUUGAAACUGGGUAUCUAGAGUGCGGGAGAGGAAAGUGGAAUUCCUAGUGUAGCGGUGAAAUGCGUAGAGAUUAUGAAGAACACCAGUGGCGAAGGCGACUUUCUGGACCGUAACUGACGCUGAGGCAUGAAAGCGUGGGGAGCAAACA